Molecule: RNA transcript, 1038 nt
Organism: Triticum dicoccoides
Lineage: Eukaryota; Viridiplantae; Streptophyta; Magnoliopsida; Poales; Poaceae
Exons: 6
Source: RefSeq, a predicted model, not a curated record
CCCCCACGGCUCCGCCUCGCUUGGCACCGGCCCACCUCGCCACCGGCCCUCCCCCUCACCUUCUCCCACCUUGCAGCGCCGGCGUGUGCCAGAUCCGCCUGCAUCCCCCAGCCAACCAUCCCUCUCACAUCUCAUCUCUCUCUCCAAGCGGCUCCUCGUUGCGCUACCUGCGGCGGCUGAUCCAAACGACGUCCGGCGAAUCCCCACCACCAUGAAGCACCGCUCGAGGCCCCCUCGCACUCGUGGCGCCCUCUCAUACGACUAGAUCCGGCGCUCGCGGCCAGUAAAGCUCACCGGCGACCCUCCUCCCAUGGCUAGGGUUUCGGGCAUCUACUCCGGCGCUGGUGGCCAAGUUGCCCUCCUCUCGUCCGACGUGGAGGGAGGUACUGUGGACAGCCUUCCUGCUGCUCGGGACGAAGUAGCCAUGGAGCUUCCUCCUCCUCCUCUGGCUUCAGCAUCAUGUCGAUAUGGCACUGUGGAAAUUGAAGAUUUGGUAUGGAGUCGCAAAAACUGCAAUACUCUCGGUAAUGCAGAAAAAACAAAGAUUUCAUGGUCUUCAACCUUUAUUCAAAAGAUACAUGGAUGAUUAUAUGGGUGUGUGGCAAGUAUACUGCAAUGAUGAUGAUGUUUCGGUUCAUCAUGAUGAUGAUGGAUGCUUUCAGUUUAGUUAAGUUGUAGGAAUUUUGUUCCUGUUGGAUGAUGUUUCUCGGUUAAGGUUUAGUUAAGUUGUAGAGACAACUUGUUCACAAGGAGUGUGCUUCCUUCUACAGAGACAGCUGGUACACAUGGAGGUUGGGUUCGUUACUCGUGGUGGCAAAAAAGAUGGCACCUACCUUGUAUCUUGUUGGCCAAGGGUAGGAAGGGACACUUUGCAGAUGGAAGGGGGUGUUGUAGGGCAGUUACUCUAAAGGAAUGAAUGGAAAAAGGCAGAGGUGUUUAUCAUCGAAAACUAAACUUGCAUGUACCCAUCUUAUGUGAAUAAGCAUGUAACCAGCUUAUAUCGAUAUUUUCAUUGUAAUGGAGACAUAAGACACAAGU